This 252-nucleotide ribosomal RNA is filed under the name uncultured prokaryote. RNAcentral's name for it is "partial 16S rRNA". It matches the Rfam family "Archaeal small subunit ribosomal RNA", at positions 475 to 726 of the family's 1478-position model. The record is from RNAcentral.
ACCGGCAGCUCAAGUGGUGGCCAUUUUUAUUGGGCCUAAAGCGUUCGUAGCCGGCUUGAUAAGUCUCUGGUGAAAUCCCACAGCUUAACUGUGGGACUUGCUGGAGACACUAUUAGGCUAGAGGGCGGGAGAGGAUGGAGGAACUCCCAGUGUAGGGGUAAGAUCAUAUAAUCCUGGGAGAAACACCUGUGGCGAAGGCGACUACCUGGAACUGGACUCACGAUGAGUCACCAAAGCCGGGAGGGCAAUCCG